This 1285-nucleotide ribosomal RNA is filed under the name metagenome. Its description in RNAcentral is "bacterial SSU rRNA". It matches the Rfam family "Bacterial small subunit ribosomal RNA", at positions 193 to 1498 of the family's 1533-position model. The record is from RNAcentral.
UUAAACAUAUAAGGGAAAUGUCUUUUCGCUAGGGGAUGAGACUAUAUGAUAUCAGGUAGUUGGUAGGGUAAGAGCCUACCAAGCCAAUGACAUCUAGCUGGUCUGAGAGGAUGAUCAGCCACACUGGAACUGAGACACGGUCCAGACUCCUACGGGAGGCAGCAGUGGGGAAUAUUGCACAAUGGAGGAAACUCUGAUGCAGCAACGCCGCGUGGAGGAUGACGCAUUUCGGUGUGUAAACUCCUUUUAUAUGGGAAGAUAAUGACGGUACCAUAUGAAUAAGCACCGGCUAACUCCGUGCCAGCAGCCGCGGUAAUACGGAGGGUGCAAGCGUUACUCGGAAUCACUGGGCGUAAAGCGCGCGCAGGCGGGUUUGUAAGUUGGAAGUGAAAUCCACUGGCUUAACCAGUGAACUGCUUCCAAAACUACUUACCUAGAGUCUGGGAGGGGAAGAUGGAAUUAGUUGUGUAGGGGUAAAAUCCGUAGAGAUAACUAGGAAUACCAAAAGCGAAGGCGAUCUUCUGGAACAGUACUGACGCUGAGGCGCGAAAGCGUGGGGAGCAAACAGGAUUAGAUACCCUGGUAGUCCACGCCCUAAACGAUGAAUGUUAGUCGUCGGGAUGCAAGUCAUUUCGGUGAUGCAGUUAACACAUUAAACAUUCCGCCUGGGGAGUACGGUCGCAGGAUUAAAACUCAAAGGAAUAGACGGGGACCCGCACAAGUGGUGGAGCAUGUGGUUUAAUUCGAAAAUACGCGAAGAACCUUACCUAGCCUUGACAUUGAUAGAAUACUGUAGAGAUACGGUAGUGCCCUUCGGGGAGCUUGAAAACAGGUGCUGCACGGCUGUCGUCAGCUCGUGUCGUGAGAUGUUGGGUUAAGUCCCGCAACGAGCGCAACCCUCGUCACUAGUUACUAACGAUUCGGUCGAGGACUCUAGUGAGACUGCCUUCGUAAGGAGGAGGAAGGUGAGGACGACGUCAAGUCAUCAUGGCCCUUACGGCUAGGGCGACACACGUGCUACAAUGGUUAGGACAAUGAGAGGCGAUACCGCGAGGUGGAGCAAAUCUAUAAACCUAAUCUCAGUUCGGAUUGUAGUCUGCAACUCGACUACAUGAAGCUGGAAUCACUAGUAAUCGUAGAUCAGCCAUGCUACGGUGAAUACGUUCCCGGGUCUUGUACUCACCGCCCGUCACACCAUGGGAGUUGAUUUCACCCGAAGCGGGGAAGCUAAACUGGCUACCCUCCACGGUGGAAUUAGCGACUGGGGUGAAGUCGUAACAAGGUA